This 462-nucleotide long non-coding RNA is filed under the name Lepidothrix coronata (blue-crowned manakin). Its description in RNAcentral is "lncRNA (ENSLCOG00000004951.1)". The record is from RNAcentral. Lineage: Eukaryota; Metazoa; Chordata; Aves; Passeriformes; Pipridae.
GGGAAUUCUCUGGGCUGUACUGGGCUUCCCUCCAUGCUGGGGGGCAAACAGGUGCUCAGACCUCAUAGAUGAGUCACUGAGGAAGGACUGUGGGGGUCCCCAGCUGAGAGAAGCCAGCUCUGCAGAACACUCGGUUUGGAUUGUGGUUUCCCUGGCACCUUCAGGGAGGGAUCUGGGCUGCGAUCUCCUGAGCUAUGUGGUGCUCCCUGGGACAGAUCUCAGCAGUGGGGUGGUUCCAAGGACAACGUUAUGGUUUUAGUCUACCACAGCUCUCCCGUUCGGCCCUGGGCAAGGUGGCCACCAGGCUCCCACAGCCAAAACAAUAAGCAGAGACCAAAAGGAAGCAGAGACCUGGCUUUAUAUCACAUAAGGACGGAUGGCAAAACUUUCCUAAAGGCAUAUGUUGUGGAAAAAGGAAAACCCCUCAAAGGUACUUCCUGCUCAGAGCAGGAUGUGGAGUGA